This 253-nucleotide ribosomal RNA is filed under the name uncultured bacterium. Its description in RNAcentral is "partial 16S ribosomal RNA". It matches the Rfam family "Bacterial small subunit ribosomal RNA", at positions 793 to 1055 of the family's 1533-position model. The record is from RNAcentral.
GUCCACGCCGUAACGAUGGCCACUCGGUGUCAGCAUUAGAUGUUGGUGCCCAAGCGAAAGCGUUAAGUGGCCCACCUGGGGAGUACGCCGGCAACGGUGAACUCAAGGAAUUGACGGGGUCCGCACAAGCGGUGGAGCAUGUGGUUUAAUUCGAUGGUACGCGAGGAACCUUACCCGGGCUAGAAUGUGAAGGAAUGUAUCAGAGAUGGUACAGUCAGCAAUGACCUGAAACAAGGUGCUGCAUGGCUGUCGU